Molecule: ribosomal RNA, 78 nt
Filed under: salal root associated fungus UBCtra1256C
Lineage: Eukaryota; Fungi; Ascomycota
Description: partial 5.8S ribosomal RNA
Rfam family: 5.8S ribosomal RNA
About the family: 5.8S ribosomal RNA (5.8S rRNA) is a component of the large subunit of the eukaryotic ribosome.
Source: RNAcentral
AUUCAGUGAAUCAUCGAAUCUUUGAACGCACAUUGCGCCCCUUGGUAUUCCGAGGGGCAUGCCUGUUCGAGCGUCAUU